Molecule: ribosomal RNA, 492 nt
Filed under: uncultured bacterium
Lineage: Bacteria
Description: partial 16S ribosomal RNA
Rfam family: Bacterial small subunit ribosomal RNA
Source: RNAcentral
AGUGAACGCUGGCGGUAGGCCUAACACAUGCAAGUCGAACGGCAGCACAGUAAGAGCUUGCUCUUACGGGUGGCGAGUGGCGGACGGGUGGGGAAUACAUCGGAAUCUACUUUUUCGUGGGGGAUAACGUAGGGAAACUUACGCUAAUACCGCAUACGACCUACGGGUGAAAGCAGGGGAUCUUCGGACCUUUCGCGAUUGAAUGAGCCGAUGUCGGACUAGCUAGUUGGCGGGGUAAAGGCCCACCAAGGCGACGAUCCGUAGCUGGACUGAGAGGAUGAUCAGCCACACUGGAACUGAGACACGGUCCAGACUCCUACGGGAGGCAGCAGUGGGGAAUAUUGGACAAAGGGCGCAAGCCUGAUCCAGCCAUACCGCGUGGGUGAAGAAGGCCUUCGGGUUGUAAAGCCCUUUUGUCGGGAAAGAAAAGCAGCAGGUUAAUACCCCGCUGUUCUGACGGUACCCAAAGAAUAAGCACCGGCUAACUUCGUG